Molecule: ribosomal RNA, 484 nt
Filed under: uncultured bacterium
Lineage: Bacteria
Description: partial 16S ribosomal RNA
Rfam family: Bacterial small subunit ribosomal RNA
Source: RNAcentral
AUUGAACGCUGGCGGCAGGCCUAACACAUGCAAGUCGAGCGGAUGAAGGGAGCUUGCUCCUGGAUUCAGCGGCGGACGGGUGAGUAAUGCCUAGGAAUCUGCCUGGUAGUGGGGGAUAACGUCCGGAAACGGGCGCUAAUACCGCAUACGUCCUGAGGGAGAAAGUGGGGGAUCUUCGGACCUCACGCUAUCAGAUGAGCCUAGGUCGGAUUAGCUAGUUGGUGGGGUAAAGGCCUACCAAGGCGACGAUCCGUAACUGGUCUGAGAGGAUGAUCAGUCACAAUGGAACUGAGACAAGGUCCAGACUCCUACGGGAGGCCGCAGUGGGGAAUAUUGGACAAUGGGCGAAAGCCUGAUCCAGCCAUGCCGCGUGUGUGAAGAAGGUCUUCGGAUUGGAAAGCACUUUAAGUUGGGAGGAAGGGCAGUAAGUUAAUACCUUGCUGUUUUGACGUUACCAACAGAAUAAGCACCGGCUAACUUCGUG